GGGCGUGCUAGGCCUCGAACAAGUGAACAUUUCAACUAUCAGCGUGUCGUGGAUCGUAUUGAAUUCACGCUAAUCACAAUCAAUACAUCUGUUACGUGCAAACGUUAUGUCUCGCGUGAAAGUUGCAUUUGCUAACGCAUUUGCGCCUUCAUUUGCGACAGCUAUCGCUUAAAUUCGGUAGCCAUCGUCUUCCAUCAUCCGUCGGGUGGAUGCUCGGUGUUAUCUAGACGGAUAUAGUUUCUUUUCUUUCGCGUAGGGGAAACUGAAUGCACAUACGCGAUGCGCAUACGAUUAUCUUUGCUGAUUUUUGUAACCAUAUGCGUAAUUAAAAUCAGCUGCACACGGAGAACAUAUUGAAAUACCAUUUGUCACGGCGGUUCAAUUCCGCCCACGUCCACAC
Molecule: transfer-messenger RNA, 400 nt
Filed under: Patescibacteria group
Lineage: Bacteria
Also listed under: 1 other name
Description: HO2-45-11b sp001817115 Standard tmRNA
Rfam family: transfer-messenger RNA
About the family: Bacterial tmRNA, also known as 10Sa RNA or SsrA, is named for its dual tRNA and mRNA-like properties. Its role is to liberate the mRNA from a stalled ribosome.
Source: RNAcentral